RNAcentral lists this transfer RNA (70 nucleotides) under Aburria aburri. Its description in RNAcentral is "tRNA-Thr". It matches the Rfam family "tRNA". From Rfam's summary of the family: Transfer RNA (tRNA) molecules are approximately 80 nucleotides in length. Their secondary structure includes four short double-helical elements and three loops (D, anti-codon, and T loops). RNAcentral also lists the same sequence under 2 other names. The record is from RNAcentral. Lineage: Eukaryota; Metazoa; Chordata; Aves; Galliformes; Cracidae.
ACUCUAAUAGUUUACAACAAAACAUUGGUCUUGUAAACCAAAGAUCGAAGACUACAACCUUCUUAGAGUG